UACGUAGGGUGCGAGCGUUGUCCGGAAUUACUGGGCGUAAAGGGCUCGUAGGCGGCCAACUAAGUCAGACGUGAAAUCCCUCGGCUUAACCGGGGAACUGCGUCUGAUACUGGAUGGCUUGAGUUUGGGAGAGGGAUGCGGAAUUCCAGGUGUAGCGGUGAAAUGCGUAGAUAUCUGCAGGAACACCCGUGGCGAAGGCGGCUGGCUGGAUCGCAACUGACGCUGAGGAACGAAAGCUAGGGGAGCAAACAGG
RNAcentral lists this ribosomal RNA (253 nucleotides) under uncultured bacterium. RNAcentral's name for it is "partial 16S ribosomal RNA". It matches the Rfam family "Bacterial small subunit ribosomal RNA", at positions 524 to 776 of the family's 1533-position model. The record is from RNAcentral.